This is a non-coding RNA of Cladophialophora bantiana CBS 173.52, 111 nucleotides long. The record is from the annotation of a RefSeq genome assembly. Lineage: Eukaryota; Fungi; Ascomycota; Eurotiomycetes; Chaetothyriales; Herpotrichiellaceae.
GGGCCAAUGGUCUAGUUGGUAUGAUAUUCGCUUCGCAUCAAAUGCCUUCUCUUACAAACGGCUUCAAAAUGUGACUGUGAAAGGUCCGGGGUUCAAUUCCCCGUUGGUCCA